Molecule: long non-coding RNA, 423 nt
Filed under: Carassius auratus (goldfish)
Lineage: Eukaryota; Metazoa; Chordata; Actinopteri; Cypriniformes; Cyprinidae
Description: lncRNA (ENSCARG00000047655.1)
Source: RNAcentral
AUGUAUGUAUGUAUGUAUGUGUGUGUAUAUGUAUAUGUUAAUAUUUUAUUGAAACCAUUGAUGUCCCUCUUUGCAGAACUCAAACUAACUGGAGUUAAGGACACACAAGUCUGCUUGUGUGAGGAGGAGGUGGUUUUCUCAGCUUCUUCUGAAGAGAGGGAAAGAUCGUUUAAGAUGUUAAAAGCAAGAGACAUGGGAGAGCAUCAUUCCUUUGAGAUUUAGGAAAUCAAACCAACUUUGGAGUUGUCUGUGUCAUGUCCACUGUCUGAUCACCCCGUUCUUGUGUGUGUGUGUGUGUUUCUGUAUAUGUCUGCAUUUCGUGCGCACAUGGUGUUUUGUUUUGGUUUUGAUUGCUCGUCUUGCACCUAUCUUUGGCGUUCCUCCCUCCCCCUCAUUAUCACAGUUUCCGUUUCUAAUGGUUUG